RNAcentral lists this ribosomal RNA (301 nucleotides) under uncultured bacterium. Its description in RNAcentral is "partial 16S ribosomal RNA". It matches the Rfam family "Bacterial small subunit ribosomal RNA", at positions 509 to 807 of the family's 1533-position model. The record is from RNAcentral.
CAGUCGCCGCGGGAAUACGAAGGGUGCAAGCGUUACUCGGAAUUACUGGGCGUAAAGCGUGCGUAGGUGGUGGUUUAAGUCCGUUGUGAAAGCCCUGGGCUCAACCUGGGAAUUGCGGUGGAUACUGGGUCACUAGAGUGUGGUAGAGGAUAGUGGAAUUUCCGGUGUAGCAGUGAAAUGCGUAGAGAUCGGAAGGAACAUCUGUGGCGAAGGCGACUAUCUGGGCCAACACUGACACUGAGGCACGAAAGCGUGGGGAGCAAACAGGAUUAGAUACCCGCGUAGUCCCUGUCUCUUAUAC